Molecule: long non-coding RNA, 203 nt
Organism: Oncorhynchus keta (chum salmon)
Lineage: Eukaryota; Metazoa; Chordata; Actinopteri; Salmoniformes; Salmonidae
Exons: 5
Source: RefSeq, a predicted model, not a curated record
UCCCCCUGGCUUCUAUAGGCUGAGAAGAAAGACAAGGAGAAGCAGGAGGACAACAUCAGCAAAAAGUCAAAGAAUGAAGUGAACAAGAUUGAAGCCACAGCGGGCAUGAAGAAGCUGGAUUCGGAAGCUGCAGACAUCUUGAAUGACCUGCAGGUCAAACUGGCCACCGUCCUGGACAACCUGAGCGCCAUGUUCGGCAGGAG